GACGAACGCUGGCGGCGUGCCUAAUACAUGCAAGUCGAGCGGAGUUAUUCCUUCGGGGAUAGCUUAGCGGCGGACGGGUGAGUAACACGUAGGCAACCUGCCUGUAAGACUGGGAUAACCCACGGAAACGUGAGCUAAUACCGGAUAGGUAAGCUCCUCGCAUGAGGGACUUAAGAAAGGCGGAGCAAUCUGCCACUUACAGAUGGGCCUGCGGCGCAUUAGCUAGUAGGUGAGGUAAUGGCUCACCUAGGCGACGAUGCGUAGCCGACCUGAGAGGGUGAACGGCCACACUGGGACUGAGACACGGCCCAGACUCCUACGGGAGGCAGCAGUAGGGAAUCUUCCGCAAUGGACGAAAGUCUGACGGAGCAACGCCGCGUGAGUGAUGAAGGUUUUCGGAUCGUAAAGCUCUGUUGCCAGGGAAGAACGCUUGGGAGAGUAACUGCUCUCAAGGUGACGGUACCUGAGAAGAAAGCCCCGGCUAACUACGUGCCAGCCGCCGCCGUAAAAC
This 511-nucleotide ribosomal RNA is filed under the name uncultured bacterium. Its description in RNAcentral is "bacterial SSU rRNA". It matches the Rfam family "Bacterial small subunit ribosomal RNA", at positions 28 to 526 of the family's 1533-position model. The record is from RNAcentral.